Long non-coding RNA from Acipenser ruthenus (sterlet), 5404 nucleotides. RefSeq lists it as uncharacterized. The record is from RefSeq and is a predicted model, not a curated record. The transcript has 3 exons. NCBI's taxonomy places the organism in Eukaryota, Metazoa, Chordata, Actinopteri, Acipenseriformes, Acipenseridae.
UAAGUCCAAGAAUAUUAUGUUUCCAUGGGCUUGUACUGCAUCUGAGAUGAGGUCUUAGUUGGUUUUAUUUUAUCCAGCCUUUUGCCCUUAUCAGCUUUUCCAACAAAGGGAAAGGCGAGGCUUGUAAAGAGUAGUUUUUUCAGUAUGCAUGCCUGUUUUGAAAGGAACCGGAUACACUUACUGUGGUAGGAAAGUGAAACAUAGAUUGGAAAUGAGUACCAUGUAUAAUAUGAUUAAAAAGUUACAUAAUUUAAAAUGUAUUUUUGACAACAAACUCUGUUCUGCACUUCGUUGAAUUUUAGCUUGUGAAAGUCCAUCUUGAAUGCAUUUUUUCAAUGAUGUGCAUAUUUAACAUUCUAAACUACCUGUCAUUUUAUUUUCCUUAUACAUAUACCUGAAAGUUUUAGACUAUCCAGCUGUUUUAUGACCAUUUUAUAAACUGAUCAGAAAAUUAAAGGUUGUCAGUAGUUUCGUAGUUUAGUGACAACAGUUUUGGCCACCACUAUAUAUGGUAUAUAUAUUUUAAUAUGUGGUUUGUAUCUGUACUGUAUAUAAAUAAGUCCAGAUAAAACUGCCUUUUGUGAACAGAUUUGAAAACCAUCAGUCAAUUUGAGUGAUGGCUCCUCUCUUUUUGUCGCAAAAAAGGUAAAAAUGAAAUUGUGCUAUCAAGAUCUACUGCAAAAGCUUUCAGAAACGUUGUUUGAAUUGGGCUUUUAACAAUAAAAUAAAAUGCCUACGGGGGAAAUAAUUGAUUGGAAAGAAGAAAACAGUCAUGUACUGUGGAAAGGUAUGAUGAACCAUGAAUUAAGUCUCAUGAAGGUAGGUGAAGAUUUAAAAUAUUUACUUCAGGGUGGCUAGUUCAAUCCGACUGAAGUUUCAUCAGUUGUUGUUUGUAGGCGUACAUGGCAUGGGUUCUGGUGGAUCUCUCCUCUUUUCCCCUCUUUUUCACAAGAAAAAGCAUUACACUGUUCAUAACUUGAAUAACUUGUGUCGAAUAAACUCUAGCGACCAUAUCAAAAACUCUACCGGCCAGUAUAAAUGUUAGGAUUGUCUGUCUGUGAGCUUUUUCAUAUUUGAUAUUUAAUUUAGCAAGCCAGGGUGUUUACACAGCUUUCAUAUGGAACAUAACAACUGUACUCCUAUCACAGCCUAAUAGCUUUGAAAGAUAAACUAAGGGCAAGCAAACUACGAGUAGCCCACUCUUCUAAAUCUGCACCACCUUGGGAGAGUAGCUGUGUGAAGGUACAGCAUUCGGUGCUGUCUGUGGGAUCAUGGUAUUGAAAGUAGCACUAGAUCCCCAAAGGCCUUGUGGAAAAUAAACUGCUUACAUUCCUCAAUAGGACAAAGGGAACGUGUUACCUGAAUCCAGAGUUCUGAAAUCAGGGCCUCUGGUAGCACAGUCCCUCACAGUUUCUCUCUCACAGGUUCCCUAUGUAAUGAACUGGCAUCUCAGCCCAUUCAAUUGAUGGAAGGGCGAGGACUGCAUGCCAACUGAAAACCAUACAGUUCAAAGAUGAAUGUCUUACCAUUCACCUAAUGAGCAAGCUGUAUAGUCGAGAGUGAACCAUAAGGGGGAUGUCAACUAACUACCUGCAGGCGUCCGCUUGAGCUCACCGGGUACCUGGCCAGUAGCAGCACGAUCAGGAGAAACAGUUCCUGCUAGUUUUGCCUCACCUAACCAGCGGAAGCCCCAGAGCUAAUGCAUUGCUUCCUCUGGAAUGCAUUAGCUCCCCCAGCAAAGACCAGGAUGCAAACCAGCACUUCCCUGAUUGCAUGACCCACCCUGCACACCACAGGGCUGUGCUUUUACCAGGUAAGUCACUCGGGAACCUAGGUGAACGUCACCAUAUUAUUUUCAGUUUGGGAGAAUUUUCUGAUGACGGCAGCAUGCAUGGUACAAUGGGUUCAAUCCCAGUUAAGUUAUAAUUCCAGUACUAAUACAUUACAAUGUUUUCAGUAUCUCCAUACAGUAGUGGUCCUAAAGAGUUUCUUCUUGAUCAUGCAAAGAAGCAACAUCGCUGGUUUAAUAGUUCAAUCAAAAUAAUUUAUUGGAAGAUGCUGCUGCUUGUCCCUUAAUACUUACUCUGAAUAUUGGUCAGGCCUUUUUGUUCCAAACACACUGGGGAUACCUACUGAAUCAAUGCUGUCAUGUCAAGAAAGAGGAUUUCUAAUCAUCAAUAUAACAACAAGUUAUGGUAAUCAGGUUCUGGUAUAAGAACAUUUUAAUGAUACAGGUGAUUGAUGACCAUGGUCUCCUUUUAUAGAACCUGAAUCUUCUAAAUGCAAUAGGCCUGUAUGUCUCAUGUGUGGUCCUUCAAAGAUUCAUGGCAUAAUAAUGUAAAAUGUAUAAGUUGAUCCCCUAGUCCCCAAGCAUGUUACCAUCCAAUUGAAUUUACUAAGGGUCUCUGUGUGUAGUUUUGCAUUGAAAACAGUAUUGGUCAUAUUCAUAUCAACGAACAGACUAUAUAUAUACAUUUCCAGCAGUCUAAAUAAUCAGCAAAUAAAUACAGGUUAUUGGCUGCCUAUCUAAUAAAAUAAAUGUGUUUUGUUGUUGUGUUUUUCUUUUUUUGUUUUAACAUGCAAUAUAUAGCAAACACCUUUGUAUAGGCAGCUACAGCAGGACACUUAACACUGUGUUUUGUUUACUGAGUUUUUGUGUACUUGUUUUGUGAAAAGUCUAUUGGAAAACCAAAAAUAAACUGAAAUAUGUGAAUUUAAUGGAGUUCAUUAAAAGUUUUUUUUUUUUUGUCUGUUUCAGGUUGUUCCUACCAUAUUCCUUGAUGAUUUAGUUAUUAAGUGGUGUCCCACCAAGCAUUGUCUUUCAGAUGUCUUACUUCACUCAAUCAUACAGGACAGCUAACAAGCUCCUGAAGUUAAAUUCGUCAUUUUUAUGUUCUCCAAACGAGAGAAAUCAGUCCUUCACUGAAAGAAGAUUUAUUUAUUUCCAUAUUUUGCUAAGGUAAACAGGGACUGCAUAAAGAGGCGAUACAAAUACAAAUAAUAAUUCAGUUUCCUGCAUCCUAACUCAGGGUACAGAGACAGAGGAUGUGGGUGAUUUGAGUAGGAGAAAAGCUUAUGCUAAGAAAUGGCACGACUUCAAUGGCUACAAUAAAUCAUUGUUAAAUGCAUUGGCGUGUCAGAAAUCCCUGACAUUAUGAAGCACGGUGUCCUGCUGGCAAGUAUUUCUUGUGCUGCACUGAAAUAAAUGAGUGACCAAUGAAGAAGGAAAAACAACUGAGGCUUGGAGGCUAUUGCUGUCUGUAACCGUGCAUGCAGGCUACAUUUAUAUUGCUUGCAGCAUACAAUGGAUAUUAUGCAGCACUGACAGAGUAUCAUUGCUCCCUUCCAAAUGUAUUACAGUAUGGGUUUUGCUAUUAUCUUAAUACAGCCAUAGGAUUAUCUCAUACAUAUAAUAUAGCAUAAUGUGUUACAUUUAUUGCACUAUAUUGAUAAAGCAAUCACAUUACAUUACUGUAUGUUUGUUUUCAUUCUAUAUUGACAGAGUACACUGAUGUACCGUAUACAGUAGUACUCAGUCAUGUCUGUUUGUACACCAUGCUUAAAGUCUGGUAAACAUAUACAUUCCAGGCCAUAUACACUUGGAGAUAUAUAUAUAUAUAUAUAUAUAUAUAUAUAUAUGUAUAUAUAUAAUCAGUAAAAUUCUAAUGGAAUGCCAUAUGAACUCAAAUAUAAUUGUACAUACAAAGUAAACAUUAUUAAUGUAUUUGAAUUCUCAUUAAUUACAAUGCAUUAAAAACAAGGGUAUUUUAAAUAAUGAGCUUGGCUACUGUAGAAUGUUCCAACUCCCAUUUCUAUCAAAUCAUUUUGCGAAUUACAAUAGCUACUGCCAAACCUAUUAGAUUGCCCACCUCUUUUUAAAAUAACAUCUGUUUUCAUUUGCAUAACUGCAGAGAUGUCAGAUGCUGUCUGUGUAUGCAUUGUACAUACUUAUUGUAGCAGCUCUUACACAGUAUUGCAUUUUCUUUGUCGGUACUUAGGUGACACUGUGGGUUUUUUAUUACCGCUAUCAUCUGGAGAUACUUAUGAAGGAUAGAUCUGCUAAGAUGUGGUCUCACAUUUUAUUGUAUCUUCAAAUGAGGCUUUGGAGAACUGCUGACUGUUGAAUUCAAUUAUUGAAGAGUUUGACUCUUCAAUAAUUCUACUGAUAGCUUCAGUGUGAAACAAUAACAGUCACAUUGACACAGUGGUGCUUUGUGUGUUUAAAGUUAAAAGUUAAUGUUUCUAACAAACAAAAAAGUGUUGUUUUUUAAUCAAACUGGAUUCUAAAUGGAUGGCAAAAAUAACAUUAUUAUGUACUUUUAUUCAAAACGCAUGCUCCGGAAUCAAUUUGAUUUAUAUUAAUGUGUACGCUGUAUUUUAUCCAUGUAUUUGUAAUAUGAAGGAACCCAUGAGUUUUGGCUUCCUUAAAAAUAAUCUCUAUUUGGGGAAAACAUAGCUCUUUAGUGUUACUGGACAUAAAUGGUCAUGUAAUUGCAAUGUAAUAACUGAAUAAUUACCAAUGGUGUUUGCUAUUACGUGAACACUACUGUUUAAUUACAUGGACAUGGCCUUGACAACAACAUGCUACCAAACCCCAUGCUACUACAUGGUUAUGUAUGCCUCUUAUUCCAAAAUGCUACCAACCAAAACACAAAAGUGCUUGGAUUCAAUUAACAAAAGUGUUGUUAAAGUAGAUAGAAAGUUUGCAUCAGGAACAAAGAACAACGGCAGUGUAAGAGAUUAUAUGCAAGAAGGAUCUGUAACAGCGUUAGUUAAAUAAACUGACAUCAAUCAAACAUGGUGUUUACCUCAGCCAUUUACAUAAGCAGCUUUAAACUGAACUGAUGUGUAGUUGGCACAUUAAACCAGGCAGUCAACAAAGUUUGGUUUUUUUCUGGUUAGGCUGAAAGCUGAGCUAUAAAGAAUGUAGUAGACAGACAACAUGAAAUACCUGUUUCAGUAUACAAUUAAAUGUGGAUGCUUGACAAGCAAAAUGUUUACACUGGCAUAAAAUCUGCGUAACAUAAGUCAACCACCAUUUUCUGUCCACAAAUCGCUCAGUUUAUGUCACGUAUGGUCUUUGCCAUCAAUGUUUUUGUUUUCAGAAUAAAACUGCUUUCACACUGAUAAAUUGGGCUCAAAUAGGUUUGCAAAGGCAACUUUAAAUCAAAAGGUUGGGUAACUCAAAGUUAAUUGUAAAAAAUACAUCAGGGACCAUGGUAAAUUAAGGGUUAAUUCAGGCUAUUCGGCGUGGACAUCUUUUUUUUCUACUGUGUUUAGGCUGUUCUAUGCUAUUUUCACAUCCAACAUAAAUGGCCACAAAUUCAUCUGGCUAAAGCAUGUGUUUUAAAAUGCUUGCUGUUUACAGUUCCUACCCACAAACUUGCUGUGCAUUGUUUUCUGU